This 92-nucleotide transfer RNA is filed under the name Mycolicibacterium boenickei. RNAcentral's name for it is "tRNA-Ala". The record is from RNAcentral. Lineage: Bacteria; Bacillati; Actinomycetota; Actinomycetes; Mycobacteriales; Mycobacteriaceae.
UGCGGCGCUGAGCGAUGCCUCGGUCGGCACCGUGUUCGCGCCGCGGCCCGAGCGCAUGUCGGCACGCCGGUUCUGGGUUCGGCACGCCGCGG